AUACGGAGGGGACAAGCGUUAUUCGGAAUCACUGGGCGUAAAGGACGCGUAGGCGGGUUAUUAAGUCGGGUGUGAAAUCCAAUGGCUCAACCAUUGAACUGCAUUCGAAACUGAUAACCUAGAGUAUGGAAGGGGCAGGUGGAAUUAGUGGUGUAGGGGUAAAAUCCGUAGAUAUCACUAGGAAUACCGAAAGCGAAGGCGAUCUGCUGGGACAUUACUGACGCUGAGGCGUGAAAGCGUGGGUAGCGAACAGGAUUAGAAACCCCAGUAGUCC
Molecule: ribosomal RNA, 274 nt
Filed under: uncultured bacterium
Lineage: Bacteria
Description: partial 16S ribosomal RNA
Rfam family: Bacterial small subunit ribosomal RNA
Source: RNAcentral